This 301-nucleotide ribosomal RNA is filed under the name uncultured bacterium. Its description in RNAcentral is "partial 16S ribosomal RNA". It matches the Rfam family "Bacterial small subunit ribosomal RNA", at positions 509 to 807 of the family's 1533-position model. The record is from RNAcentral.
CAGCCGCCGCGGGAAUACGGAGGAUCCGAGCGUUAUCCGGAAUUAUUGGGUUUAAAGGGUGCGUAGGCGGAUAGAUAAGUCAGUGGUGAAAGACGGUGGCUCAACCAUCGCAGUGCCGUUGAUACUGUUUAUCUUGAAUAUGGAUGAGGUAGGCGGAAUGUGGCAAGUAGCGGUGAAAUGCAUAGAUAUGCCACAGAACACCGAUUGCGAAGGCAGCUUACCAAGGCAAAAUUGACGCUGAGGCACGAAAGCGUGGGGAUCGAACAGGAUUAGAUACCCCAGUAGUCCCUGUCUCUUAUAC